Molecule: ribosomal RNA, 627 nt
Filed under: Cellulosimicrobium sp. 11399
Lineage: Bacteria; Bacillati; Actinomycetota; Actinomycetes; Micrococcales; Promicromonosporaceae
Description: bacterial SSU rRNA
Rfam family: Bacterial small subunit ribosomal RNA
Source: RNAcentral
UGCAGUCGACGAUGAUGCCCAGCUUGCUGGGUGGAUUAGUGGCGAACGGGUGAGUAACACGUGAGUAACCUGCCCUUGACUUCGGGAUAACUCCGGGAAACCGGGGCUAAUACCGGAUAUGAGCCGCCCUCGCAUGGGGGUGGUUGGAAAGUUUUUCGGUCAGGGAUGGGCUCGCGGCCUAUCAGCUUGUUGGUGGGGUGAUGGCCUACCAAGGCGACGACGGGUAGCCGGCCUGAGAGGGCGACCGGCCACACUGGGACUGAGACACGGCCCAGACUCCUACGGGAGGCAGCAGUGGGGAAUAUUGCACAAUGGGCGAAAGCCUGAUGCAGCGACGCCGCGUGAGGGAUGAAGGCCUUCGGGUUGUAAACCUCUUUCAGCAGGGAAGAAGCGCAAGUGACGGUACCUGCAGAAGAAGCGCCGGCUAACUACGUGCCAGCAGCCGCGGUAAUACGUAGGGCGCAAGCGUUGUCCGGAAUUAUUGGGCGUAAAGAGCUCGUAGGCGGUUUGUCGCGUCUGGUGUGAAAACUCGAGGCUCAACCUCGAGCUUGCAUCGGGUACGGGCAGACUAGAGUGCGGUAGGGGAGACUGGAAUUCCUGGUGUAGCGGUGGAAUGCGCAGAUAUCA